GCCAUAUAAUAUAUUUUCAGAGACACAAACACUCAGUGCUGAGAUGACCUCUUUCCAUCACCUUUGACUGAUGGCA
Small nucleolar RNA from Trichosurus vulpecula (common brushtail), 76 nucleotides. RefSeq annotates it as small nucleolar RNA SNORD83. The record is from RefSeq and is a predicted model, not a curated record. The transcript has a single exon. Lineage: Eukaryota; Metazoa; Chordata; Mammalia; Diprotodontia; Phalangeridae.